Molecule: ribosomal RNA, 425 nt
Filed under: uncultured bacterium
Lineage: Bacteria
Description: bacterial SSU rRNA
Rfam family: Bacterial small subunit ribosomal RNA
Source: RNAcentral
GGGGAAUCUUGGACAAUGGGCGCAAGCCUGAUCCAGCAAUGCCGCGUGGGUGAAGACGGCCUGCGGGUUGUAAAGCCCUUUAGGCGGGGAGGAACGACGGGACGCGAAUACCGUUUCGAAGUGACGUUACCCGCGGAAUAAGCACCGGCUAACUCCGUGCCAGCAGCCGCGGUAAUACGGAGGGUGCGAGCGUUAAUCGGAAUUACUGGGCGUAAAGCGUGCGUAGGCGGUUUGGUCAGUCGGUCGUGAAAGCCCCGGGCUUAACCUGGGAACGGCGGUCGAGACGGCCAAACUUGAGUGGGCUAGAGGAUCGUGGAAUUCCGGGUGUAGCGGUGAAAUGCGUAGAGAUCCGGAGGAACACCGAUGGCGAAGGCAGCGGUCUGGGGCCACACUGACGCUGAGGCACGACGGCGUGGGGAGCAAAC